RNAcentral lists this ribosomal RNA (30 nucleotides) under Trichoderma arundinaceum. RNAcentral's name for it is "partial 28S ribosomal RNA". Lineage: Eukaryota; Fungi; Ascomycota; Sordariomycetes; Hypocreales; Hypocreaceae. The record is from RNAcentral.
UGUUGACCUCGGAUCAGGUAGGAAUACCCG